This 313-nucleotide long non-coding RNA is filed under the name Homo sapiens (human). RNAcentral's name for it is "HSALNT0201253". Lineage: Eukaryota; Metazoa; Chordata; Mammalia; Primates; Hominidae. The record is from RNAcentral.
GGACUUGGAAAUCGAAUCUGUGCUCUGUGAGAGAUCCUAGGAAAGGAAACUGGGAGCCCGGGAGAACUAAAAUUCCCAAUUAAAAGUGAAUUUAAAUCUGAGCUGUUCUUAGACCCAGAAUUUCUUGCCUGAAGGAGGAAUCAGGUCCCCACAAGGAAAGACCCUGCAACUGUAUAAAAAAAGAAUCUAAAAAGAUCAUGACUCCUUCAGUCCUUUCCCAAAGAGACCUAUGGAAAUUUCCUCAGGUGUUUCCAGUGUUAGAAUAUGCAGGAAUUCAUGGAGAGUGGCAAGUGACAUGACUGGAAAACCCCUC